Molecule: ribosomal RNA, 871 nt
Filed under: uncultured bacterium
Lineage: Bacteria
Description: bacterial SSU rRNA
Rfam family: Bacterial small subunit ribosomal RNA
Source: RNAcentral
GAACGGGUGAGUAACACGUGGGUGAUCUGCCCUGCACUUUGGGAUAAGCCUGGGAAACUGGGUCUAAUACCGAAUAGGACCACGCGCUUCAUGGUGUGUGGUGGAAAGCUUUUGCGGUGUGGGAUGGGCCCGCGGCCUAUCAGCUUGUUGGUGGGGUAAUGGCCUACCAAGGCGACGACGGGUAGCCGGCCUGAGAGGGUGACCGGCCACACUGGGACUGAGAUACGGCCCAGACUCCUACGGGAGGCAGCAGUGGGGAAUAUUGCACAAUGGGCGCAAGCCUGAUGCAGCGACGCCGCGUGAGGGAUGACGGCCUUCGGGUUGUAAACCUCUUUCAAUAGGGACGAAGCGCAAGUGACGGUACCUAUAGAAGAAGCACCGGCCAACUACGUGCCAGCAGCCGCGGUAAUACGUAGGGUGCGAGCGUUGUCCGGAAUUACUGGGCGUAAAGAGCUCGUAGGUGGUUUGUCGCGUUGUUCGUGAAAACUCACAGCUUAACUGUGGGCGUGCGGGCGAUACGGGCAGACUAGAGUACUGCAGGGGAGACUGGAAUUCCUGGUGUAGCGGUGGAAUGCGCAGAUAUCAGGAGGAACACCGGUGGCGAAGGCGGGUCUCUGGGCAGUAACUGACGCUGAGGAGCGAAAGCGUGGGGAGCGAACAGGAUUAGAUACCCUGGUAGUCCACGCCGUAAACGGUGGGUACUAGGUGUGGGUUCCUUCCUUGGGAUCCGUGCCGUAGCUAACGCAUUAAGUACCCCGCCUGGGGAGUACGGCCGCAAGGCUAAAACUCAAAGGAAUUGACGGGGGCCCGCACAAGCGGCGGAGCAUGUGGAUUAAUUCGAUGNCACGCGAAGAACCUUACCUGGGUUUGA